Molecule: ribosomal RNA, 253 nt
Filed under: uncultured bacterium
Lineage: Bacteria
Description: partial 16S ribosomal RNA
Rfam family: Bacterial small subunit ribosomal RNA
Source: RNAcentral
UACGUAGGGGGCUAGCGUUGUCCGGAAUCAUUGGGCGUAAAGAGCGUGUAGGCGGCCCGGUAAGUCCGCUGUAAAAGUCAAAGGCUCAACCUUUGAAUGUCAGUGGAUACUGCCGGGCUAGAGUCCGGAAGAGGCGAGUGGAACUCCUGGUGUAGCGGUGGAAUGCGCAGAUAUCAGGAGGAACACCGGUGGCGAAGGCGGGUCUCUGGGCCGAAAUUGACGCUGAGGAGCGAAAGCGUGGGGAGCAAACAGG